Non-coding RNA from Biomphalaria glabrata, 215 nucleotides. Lineage: Eukaryota; Metazoa; Mollusca; Gastropoda; Planorbidae. The record is from Rfam.
UGCACGUUGCCUUAGAUCCACAUUCCUGGGUGUGUUAGUCUGGUGCACCUGAUCAUAUUGCUCUUGUGGUCAAGUCAUCCUUCACCCAAACAACUUUACUGGCUGUUCAUGGAAUGUGCUUGAGUCAUAAGCGUGCUACAGUAUUCUACCUCAGCUCUUAUGUUGUUAUACAGAGUGCUCAUUAAAACACUUUGUUAACAUCUGGCUGGGACAGU